RNA transcript from Brassica napus (rape), 1455 nucleotides. RefSeq lists it as uncharacterized. NCBI's taxonomy places the organism in Eukaryota, Viridiplantae, Streptophyta, Magnoliopsida, Brassicales, Brassicaceae. The transcript has 8 exons. The record is from RefSeq and is a predicted model, not a curated record.
UAUUAUUUUUUGUUGAGGGGGUAUUACAGCGUUUUAUCACCCGUCACCCGGAUACUCCCCCCCUUUGACUCCGACGGUGAGGUCUCUCAAAGUUUGGGAGAAAAAGAGAGAGAGAAAGAGAGAGUAGCAGUCAAUUAGGGUUUAUUCCAAACGAUAAAUCGGAGGUUCGUGCAAGUCCCAGAGGGAUGCAACGAAAUGUCUCAAAUCGAUCUACCGUUUGAAGUCGGUGACACCAUCGAAGCAAGAUCUUUCGAAUUGGGGUUUCGUGGAGCAUGGUUCCGAUGCAAGAUUACAAAGAUAUUCAACAAAGGGAGAGCAUUAUUCUACGAUUUGGAGUAUCUUGAUUUCACAGAAGAAGGAAUACACACAACAAAAGUAUAUCAAAAACGCCAAGGCGAGAGCGAGAAUAUCCUAAUGGUUCGACCCAUACGCCCCCGUCAGUCUCAUGAAAAUGAGGAAGGUUGUGGUGGAGAAGAAGAAGAAGAAGAAGAAGAAGAAGAAGUUGUUGUUGUUCGUGGUCUUUGGAAGGUGGGUGACUUGGUGGACUGGUGGAAAGACGAUUGCUAUUGGUCUGGAACGGUUCUAGAAGUGAAUGAAGAAGAUGAAACGGCUAAGAUUGAAUUGGUGCCUGAACCGUAUGGCGAAGGAAAAAGCUACGAUGCUAUGUUUAAGGAUUUGGUUCCUUCAUUGGAAUGGUCACUUGAAGAUGGAUGGAUUGUGCCUUUCUCUAAGGAUGGUGAAAAGAGGCAGUGUGCUAAGCUAAUGAAACUUCCUAAUGAAGGAGCUGAAGAAACUAGAGAAGAAGAAAAGCAGAGACCCACAAAGAAGUUAGCAGUUGAAGAAGAAGAAAAGCUGAGACCCACAAAGAAGUUAGUAGGAGACCAAGAUCUUGCGUUGAAUAUCAUGGAAUCAGAGUCUAUAGAAGCUGCUGUGAUGGACUUGGAGGAGCAAAUUGUUCGAAUAGAAUGGAUAAAAGGAAUGUUAUUGCUAAAUUCAGAUAAUUCAACCUGGAUAUAUGAGGAUUAUCCUCCUCCAUCUUCCUAAAAAUAUGUGACAGGUUAUAAUCAUCUCUCUUUCUUCUUUUCUUUGAACCUAACCUAAACGUCUCUCGAGUUGCCUUUUAGCCUUCUCAAGUUGUUGUUUCAUUUUGUUCAGGCUUUGAAUUGGUUCUCUUCUGUAUCACAAUUUUUUAUAGUCCUUAGGUGGAGGAGUAGAGUAGAAGAUGUAAAUGAGGGUAAGACCUAAGAUGGAUCAUAUUUGACACGUUUUGAGAUAAUUGAAAACGGAACAUGACUCUGUUUCUUAGACGUCUUUCUUUUAGGUAUUUUGGUUUCCUUUGUUUUUUUUUUUGUUUGUUGAUAUACUUUGCAACAAUUUCCUCUGUAUUUAACCUCGAACCUACUUUUUGUAGUCUGGGAAUUGAACUAAAGAGAAAGUUAAGGAUUAGUAAUUUCA